This 626-nucleotide ribosomal RNA is filed under the name uncultured Acidobacteriota bacterium. RNAcentral describes it as "SSU rRNA". It matches the Rfam family "Bacterial small subunit ribosomal RNA", at positions 242 to 885 of the family's 1533-position model. The record is from RNAcentral. Lineage: Bacteria; Pseudomonadati; Acidobacteriota.
CAGCUAGUUGGCAGGGUAAGAGCCUACCAAGGCAGAGAUCGGUAGCCGGCCUGAGAGGGCACACGGCCACACUGGCACUGAAACACGGGCCAGACUCCUACGGGAGGCAGCAGUGGGGAAUCUUGCACAAUGGGGGAAACCCUGAUGCAGCGACGCCGCGUGAGCGAUGAAGCCCUUCGGGGUGUAAAGCUCUUUCGGUAGGGAAGAUGAUGACGGUACCUGCAGAAGCAGCUGCGGCUAACUACGUGCCAGCAGCCGCGGUAAUACGUAGGCAGCGAGCGUUGUUCGGAGUUACUGGGCGUAAAGGGUGUGUAGGCGGUUCUUUAAGUUUGGUGUGAAAUCUCCCGGCUUAACCGGGAGGGUGCGCCGAAUACUGAGGGACUUGGAGUGCGGGAGAGGAAAGUGGAAUUCCUGGUGUAGCGGUGAAAUGCGUAGAUAUCAGGAGGAACACCGGUGGUGUAGACGGCUUUCUGGACCGUAACUGACGCUGAGACACGAAAGCGUGGGUAGCAAACAGGAUUAGAUACCCUGGUAGUCCACGCCCUAAACGAUGCAUAUUUGGUGUGGGUCAUUCAGUUGAUCCGUGCCGGAGCUAACGCGUUAAAUAUGCCGCCUGGGGAGUACAG